GGCGGACACAACAUCUUUGUUGGUAUGUGGUGCUGAGGAUCGAACCCGGGCCGCAGGCAUGCCAGGAGAGCGCGCUACCGCUUGAGCCACAUCCCCAGCCCUAAAAAAAAAUUUAAAAAAAGAACUUGUUUUCUCUGCCCCCCAAAAAUGGUGUUGGGGGUGCUGGGGCUGUACUUCAGUGGUACAGCACCCCUGAGUUCAAUCCCCAUUUUUUUUUUUUUUGCAUUUUUGGCGCUGGGGUUUGGACCCAGGUCCUUGGGUGUGCUGUGCACACAGUCCACCUCUGAGCUAACCCCAACCCCUGACAUUUUAAUCUUUUUUAAAGUAUACAGCUCAAUGGCAUUAAUUACAUUUGCAAUAUUGUACAGGCAGUCACAGCUACCUAUUUUCAAAACUUUUCAUUAUCCCACACAGAAACUCUGUCCCAUGAAUAUUAACUCUUUCCUCCCCUCCCCAGCCCCAGGCAAUCACCGUUCUACUUUCUGUCUUUGGAAAUUCAACUGCUCUAGGUUCCUCGAGUGAGUGGGAUCUUACAAGGUUUCUCCUGCUGUGGCUGGUGUCCUGCUGUGGCUGGUGUCCUGCAUGUGCAGAAUGUCUUCAUGAGCAACUGUCUCCCUUUAUGAGCCUGAAGAUAACCAACUGUAUCCGCCACUACUGAGUUUGAAGCUUAGCUUUUCCUUCUAUCACAUACUGACUCAUGCACAAGAAAAGGCCACGAUUUACAGAGUAUGUCUCUCACGAUAGCCCCAAUUUAGACUGAUCUGACCCUGAAUAACUACAUCUCAAUGAAGAAUAAAAGGAGU
This 803-nucleotide long non-coding RNA is filed under the name Marmota monax (woodchuck). Lineage: Eukaryota; Metazoa; Chordata; Mammalia; Rodentia; Sciuridae. The record is from RNAcentral.